This is a Y RNA of 99 nucleotides. It matches the Rfam family "Y RNA". Rfam says of the family: Y RNAs are components of the Ro ribonucleoprotein particle (Ro RNP), in association with Ro60 and La proteins. The record is from Ensembl.
AGCUGGUCCAAGUGCAGUGGUAUUUACAAUUAAUUGAUUACAAUAAAUUACAGAUUUCUUUGUUUCUUCAUUCCCAUAGCUUUACUUGAUUUGCCUUUC